RNAcentral lists this ribosomal RNA (492 nucleotides) under uncultured bacterium. Its description in RNAcentral is "partial 16S ribosomal RNA". It matches the Rfam family "Bacterial small subunit ribosomal RNA", at positions 29 to 507 of the family's 1533-position model. The record is from RNAcentral.
AGUGAACGCUGGCGGUAGGCCUAACACAUGCAAGUCGAACGGCAGCACAGUAAGAGCUUGCUCUUACGGGUGGCGAGUGGCGGACGGGUGAGGAAUACAUCGGAAUCUACUUUUUCGUGGGGGAUAACGUAGGGAAACUUACGCUAAUACCGCAUACGACCUACGGGUGAAAGCAGGGGAUCUUCGGACCUUGCGCGAUUGAAUGAGCCGAUGUCGGAUUAGCUAGUUGGCAGGGUAACGGCCCACCAAGGCGACGAUCCGUAGCUGGUCUGAGAGGAGGAUCAGCCACACUGGAACUGAGACACGGUCCAGACUCCUACGGGAGGCAGCAGUGGGGAAUCUUGGGCAAUGGGCGCAAGCCUGAUCCAGCCAUACCGCGUGAGUGAAGAAGGCCUUCGGGUUGUAAAGCCCUUUUGUUGGGAAAGAAAAGAAGCAGGUUAAUACCCCGCUGUUCUGACGGUACCCAAAGAAUAAGCACCGGCUAACUUCGUG